RNAcentral lists this unclassified non-coding RNA (290 nucleotides) under uncultured fungus. RNAcentral describes it as "sequence contains ITS1". Lineage: Eukaryota; Fungi. The record is from RNAcentral.
GUAUUAGGUUUUAAAGGCUAUGAAAAAGCCUGUAACAUUACAUUCUUUGACAUGCGGUGUGUGAAUGUAAAAGGACAUAGACCGAAGACAGGCAAGGGAAAGCUGGCCCCAAAGAGCAGCAGCAGACCCUCCAACCGAGUUUGACCUCGGAGAGAUGUCUCCAAGUCUACAGAAGGUGCACAGGUGGUAUAAAGAAGUUGGCGCCAGGCGUGCACAUGCCCCGAGGGACCAGCAAACAGCCCGACCAAGUCCAUUCAAUAAUGAUCCUUCCGCAGGUUCACCUACGGAAA